Long non-coding RNA from Columba livia (rock pigeon), 6875 nucleotides. RefSeq lists it as uncharacterized. The transcript has 3 exons. The record is from RefSeq and is a predicted model, not a curated record. Lineage: Eukaryota; Metazoa; Chordata; Aves; Columbiformes; Columbidae.
UUCAAUUGAGAAUAAUAAUCCACUUUCAAUGGUUGGCGGCAAUAUAACUGGGAAUCCACUGUUCUCCAAAAUGGUGGCUCCAGUCAGUCAUCUGGACUUAUUAUUACAGCUUUUCCUCCAGAUCUGCUGCUCCCAGCUGUACUGAGUGACUUCUCUGCAGGACCCUCACAUGUGGACCAGACUAUGAGCUUAAUGACAGUGGAAAGAUGGUUUGUGGGUCAUCAGGCUGAAGCUGAAAUCUAUGAGUGCCCAAGAGGAACAAAUUGCAGGAUACUGAAAGCCUGGAGGAGCGACACAGGAGCCUUUACAUGAGCUUACUACUUUCAGACAGUCUUCUUAAAGCGAUCUUCAGAGAGUUCAUAGACUGAUCUUCACAGCGGCAGCUGCUCUGGCUUUUGGACCUCUACAGAGUGAAGAGGGCAAAAACACUGGUUCUAUUAAGUUGUGAGCAAAUAAGUAUUAACCUGGAUACUUUGCAAUCUUUUAGGCUUUUUUAGUUAAUAGGAUUUAUGCUUCCUUCUUUGCAAGAUUUAUGCUUCUCUUAUGCUAAAACAUACCAUAUUUCAGUACUGUGAUGUCUUACUGCAGCAAUGAAUCUAUACUGAUGACUGUGAGAGGAGAAACAUAGAGGCAGCUAAUUCAUUUUGAAAGCUUUAUAUAAUUUUACAUAUCAGCCUGAGUCUGUACCUAUUUAGCAGUAACAUUUGCUUUUACACUUCAUGUACAUGCUUCAUUCCAUUGGCAUUUAGAGUGAUUUAAAUGACUACAAGCCACAGGAGCAGAUUUUUGAAUCUCAGGCUCCCUGUGGCUUUUUCAAUGCCUGUUUGCUUUUUAUAGCUUUGAUUCUUUUUCUUACAAUGAUUAAGAGUUGAGACUAACACAAAACAAAACAAAGUCCUGUCUGAAUGUAUUUAGGACCUGGCAUGAAAUAUAGCCAAGAAGAGACAAAUUAUAAAUGACAGUACUCCAGCAGACAGAAUGGAUGUAAAAUUAAUAAAAGUGGGACUGCUGAUUAACUUGAUCACUCCAUGAAUGAUGAUAUAGGAAGUCUGAGCAAAUGCCAGAGAUUUAUUUAUUAAAAAUGCUUAGGAGCACCAUGCUGGUGUUUGACCUUCUCCAUUGAGUGAACUUUAAGGAUUCACAUUCUGCAGCAGUACACUUUACUAGCAAGUCUAAAAUAGCACUAUAGUUUUAAAAUGUACUUCUUCAUAGCAUUGCUCUUGAGAAUUAGGCUUAGUUUUCCAAGAUAGAAGAGCCAUAAAUGUUGAUCCAUCAUUAUUUGAACUGUACUGCACACUUAGUUUUUAUGUGGAAGAAUAGUGUUAAAGAGCCAAUUUGAGGACUUUCAUGAAAGCAUACCAGUACUAAAUAUGGAUUGUUUGCAGUUGGAAUUGUUUUUAAACUAGGUCCUUCAGUUUGUUUUUUUUUUAAUAUGAAAAGUUGUCUACUUUAAGGAACAAGUGCUCUGUAGUAUUGCUAAAGAAAAUAUAGAAAAGAAAAAUAUAAUUUAAAAUUUCUCUUUUGGGUUACCCCCUUGAUAUUACGCGUCUAUUACAUGCCUAUUUUUCUUUUUCUAUAAUUUAUAUAUUAAUUUAUUUCAAAACACAAAUUUCAUUACAUUUGACCAGGGAAGUAGUAGAGUCACCAUCCCUGAAUGUGUUUAAAAGAUGUAUAGAUAAAGCUCUUAGGGACGCAGUUUAGUGCCUUUGAUAGGUUAACAGUUGGACUUGAUGAUCAUGAAGGUCUCUUCCAACCAAAAUGAUUCUAUGAUUCUAUAAGUUACUAAAAUCUUCGAAUCUAUCUAAUCUGAUAUUUCAAUGCCACUAAUUCACCUUGAAAGGAUAAUCUUCUCAAGAGCCUGAAGUUAAGGAAUUAGUAUUCUUUUUACCUUGGAAACUGCAAAAUAUUAGAAACCCCAAAACCAGACAAAUGGCCUGGAUUUAAUAAUUUUAUAAUAUUCAGAAAGAAGGUUAGGCAAGUUUUAAUCCAUAUUUUCUGUGCUCAAAAGUGCAUUUGACCCUGUCCUAAAUCUAACAAGGGUUCAAAAAUUCACAAUCCCAUACAAAUUAUAUAGACAUUAGUACUUAACAGAAUCCUCUGGAUUCUUGCAAGAUGAAAAACUGUGACCCUAAACUUUGGUCCUGGUAUGUGCAGUCCUAAUCUUAAAUACAAUGGGCAGCCUGAAACAUAAAACUAAGCCAGACACCAUUUGCACCAGGAAAGUAUAAGCCACUUUUACUGUUGUCACCUGCUGUCAUCCUAAACAGGCCUUCUCACUUGUAACUUUAGUUUUAUGCCCAUGCUCAGUGGAGUCUUCUGUUGAGAGAACAUCGCUUUCGCCUUAAAACCAGUUCUCAUUGCAGAACAGGGAACUCUGAAUCCUCAAGCAUUAAACAGAUUUUUUGUGAGUUUCCUGAUUCUAUACCUACCCUAAUCCAAUCCUAACUGUAGUCAGAAACCUCUGCAAAUAACAGAAAAAUAUGCAAAUUAUUAUUUCCUUCUGGAACAAAUCCUUAUUGUGAACUAACGGCCCUCCCAAGAUCUAUCUGUAUUAGAACAGAAUGAAACUCUCCCCUCAUUUUACAUUGUAAUCCAGUAUUAAUUUAAUCUUCAGCUGCUGCCUUUCCAAACCAUACUUAUGAUACCAAAUCUAGCCAAGACAAAACUGGUACACAGAACCCAAACACUUGCUUUUCUCCUCUUCAGCACGAUUUCUCAACUUAAACUGACAGGGCUUUUGUCACCCAGUUGAUUAUGUAGUUAUGCAGUUGAUUAUGUAGUUUCUGCUUUCUUUGACUAAACUCUUACUCAAGACUUAACUGCCCAGAGAACCAGUUCCCUGGACAACAGAAAAUAAAGGUAUUUGUCUCUUUGAACCAGCCUUCCUCCUCCUAACAGUGGGCCUGGUGGGAGGAGGUCUCAGUAACAGAGUUGUUAAGUUCUUGUACUCCAAAAUCCUUAUUAUAAUUUUAACUAGAAGCUCCUCUAUGGACUAGAUUAAAAUAUGAAUUGUUUCCUUUAAAAAAGAAAAAAGUUUUAUUCCUCCCUCAGAGCCCUUCGGAAUGCAUAAACCUGAAGUUCUUAUUUUUGCUUAUCGCAGCCCAAGGUCUAAGCCCUAAUCAGCAUCCAGAACAAGUAAAUUUAAAAAAAUUUUAAAAGGACCCUUUUUCCCUUUUUUUUUUCCUUUUUUUUUUAAUCCCUGAAACCAUCAUUCUACACCAAAUACUGCAGGACCAAAUACUGAAACUGGCUCCUCAAGAUCUGCUGUUUGUAUUAAGAAUUCCCAAAUCACUAAGGAGUAAACCUCUAUCCAUAGGAUCUGUCAUGAUCUUUACAGGAUCUCAAAUAAAUCUAACUCCUUGGCUUGUCUAGUCCACGACCUUAAUCAUAAUUAUGACCCCAUUCCUAGGUUAUAACAAAUGGAAUAGAGAGAGGGGAAGGGAAAAAACCAAAAACUAAAACAAACAAAAUAACCACCCACAUAAACCAAAAAAUGAUUAAGUUAUUUCUUGUUGCCACAGUGGAACAAAAUGUCUCAGUGAGUCUUGAAGGAUAAAGAAACACAAAUUUAAGUUCAUGGCUUCAGGCCUUGCUCCCAAGAAAGUUAACAUGAACCACAGCUCUACUCAUAUGCUAAUAGCUUUGACAUGUUUACAAGAACAGAACAAAACACCACCAAAAAUACCUUCCAACAUGAAAAGAAGUUUUUCUGGGUAGGCUCCCUGAGACCUACUGCUGUGCAGUGUUCUGUAAACCUCAGUGGAGCCAGCAUCCUAAGUUUGUGCUUCACUGUGCCAGACCCAUAUGUGAAGAAAAGCAAAACAUGAGCUAUAGAUUUACUAUUCAGGUAUGAGAGGAUCCCUUAGUAAAACUCUUUCUCCAUGCUUUGCUCUCAGAAACAAACAUAACUCAAAAAACAGAGCACAGCAGGGUUUGUCUCUACCUACUCCAUCAAAACAAAAUAGAAAUAAUUUCUCAAAAUAGAAGGCUGAACCUUUCAGGAUCAACCAAAAAGACUGGGUCUUCAUCUUAAGAGGAAAUAAUUGUAAGGAUAGUGAGGGACUAUAUAUAUUUAUAGCACUAGAGGGCAAUUUUCUGGCACAGAUUUUUAUCAUAGGUCAGUGAAGACCCAUUCACUCUCUUUUCUACCCUACCAGUGCUGGAUUUUUAAAAUAUUCCCGAGACUUGAGCUCAAAAAAAUUGAGCAAUUCUUUAUAUCUGUCAUGAUGUCUUAUCCUACGUCGCAGAAGCCUUGUAAACUGUGCACUUACAGUAAUAGUCUGCAUCUGAGAAUAACAGGACAUUAUGAAAACUGAUGUCCUUUUUUACCUUGUCUGUCAUCCUAACCAGAACCAUUACCCUAUGACUGACAACACAUAAGAAGUUUCUUGUUGGACUAGAAGAAAAUGUCUGCCACUUUUUGGAACAGCUGCCAGGAAUUCUGCCAGGAACCUGCAGUUCAUCUCUUACCCCAUUAUCUUGAGCUUAAAAACAUACUGCAUAGCCUCCAAGACAGCUUAAGGCAAAAUAUUAAUUACACUCUGUUGGGUUUUAGUCCGGCAGCCAGGCAGGAACCAAGAUAAAGUAAAUUUCUCAGAUACUGUUGUAAGGUGAUGCUAUUAUAAUUCAUGAUACAGCCACUGCUAAGCUUAGCCUUAUUCCACAGGCUUCUUUUGUUGGUGUUUGUUUGUUUGGUGGUUUUGUUUGGUUGGUUUUUGUCUGUUUGGUUUUUCUUCUCUUUUAGAGCAAGCCACAAUUACAGGUGGAAGAACAGGGAAAUAAAACAUUGUCAUACAAGCUUUGGUAAGCAUAAGUCUAACUUCAGACCCAAACCUAAACUAAGCAAAAAACUAGAGACUUCAAACCAGACUUCAGUAAAAAUAUGAUGUAUUCUGUCCCCCUGACUUGAGGAUGCAGGAUUUCAGGAUGCUGUGGGGAAGCAGUGCUUCUCUGUAAUCCUAAUAUUCACCAUUCACCAACAGCCAUAUUCCUCUUACCAAUAUUCUAUCUGCAAUAGUAAACUUAAACGUUAUGCUAUGCUUAAGAGUGAAGAUACUCCACUCUUGGGUGAUGAAUUAAAUACGAAUCACUUUUUGUAGCACUAUAUCAUAUUUUAUGUUCCCAAGCCUUGAAAGGUCUGGUAGUAAAGUAGGCAUCUCAUUCCUUCUCCUUUCUAAUCCUAACUCCAGCUAUAAAUUUAGUAAAAGAUGCCAUCUUCAGAACAUCACUCACCAUGACUCACCCUUUACCAUAGGUUUACUAGUUAUACAGAGACCCUAUACAAUGAAGAAAAUUAAAUAGGAGCUACUUCCUUGCUCUGACACCUAUUAUUAUUUUACAUCACUGCCAAGAUUAGGAGAAAAAAAAUCCUGGAAGUCACUGUCUUCUUCCUGAAUCAUUCUUUAUCACCUCUGAGGAAGUUCUUUAGAAUUAGCAGAUUCCUGCUGUCCAUGAACCCCAGACUACCUAAGACUUAUACCAGGGCUUAACAGUAAACCAGAGACCUCAAAGUAAAUUGCCAUGCUUUGCCUUGAUUGAGAGCCUUUAGUCAGCAGUAAUUGUAGCUCCUAACACAUUGUUCUUCUUAACCAAAAUGCUCCAAAACUUGCUCUACAAUUGUAAUUUCUGGAAUUCUUUGUUCUAAUAUCUGAUGUUAGAGAGUUUUGAAGGAUUCAGUAAUAAAUCAAGGUAUUGACCUUAUUCUGAUACAGUCUUCACCCUGUUUUUAACACUGAUGUUUAGUCACUGUUGUUAUUAAAUUAGGGAAAAACAAAACAAAACAAAACAGAAGCCAUCCUCCCUUCCAGAAUCAAUGACUGAUUAACCUUGUGGGAUUCAGAACUUCUUAAGACUUCCUCUGUAAUCUUAAUUUAGGCUUAAUAAAAGAUUCAGGUGUCACAACAUACAAAUUAUUCUUCAUUUACAAAAUCAGUGUUGUAUAACCGUUUUUGCAGGAUACAGCAGGGAAAAUAAACUCUUACGUUUCCAUCAUCUACUAGCCACAGCUCUGGAUUCUAGUUCUGGGACAGUAAUAUAAGAACUGCCAUUAGUGAGAGGACUGAGAAAAACUCUUCUACUACCAGGAUUCAUUUCACUCCAGAACAAGCACCCAGGAGGCUUUGGCAGAGGACAGCCUUUUGGCUACUGUUCUCCACAACUUCCACAGUCUUAAGAAAAACCCAAAGAAUCAUGUCUGAGCAGGAACAAAACACGAACCAUAUCCUUGUUUCAUACUCAACUUUCUACAAAGCAAAAGCCAUGCAAGAGAGGAAUAUCUUAUUUUUCUGAAGUUUACAACAUCACUCUGGCUCAAGUGUGGGCUUAGCAACAGCAGAUAUUUUAGUCUAGUGUUCAAAUUACAGUGGAAAAGUCAUUCAGAUUAUAGCCAGAAAAGUCAUUAUCCUGGCACUAAGCCAUUUUCUACCAUAGCAAAAUCUUUGGUGUGCAACAGUAUACAACUACACAGUCCCACUGUCAUAGCCUUGAGCGCACCACAUGCCCUGACCACCUCAACUGGGAUCCUCACCCUCCACCCAUGGGCCAGAAGCCCCAUUGCAGCUGAGGUCCUGGGCUGCACUCCUGGACUGAACCAAGCUGUAGGUAGAACCAGCCCUGUUUCUGACUUCUGCUAUCCCUGACUUGCUGACUCCACUCAUGAAUGGACCAGACUUUGCCUGGUCUGAUGAUUGCUGGGCUGUCAACAGAGCCUGUUGCUGGCAUCACCCCUCCCCUGCUUGGGUAUCAUGGGACUGUGCCCUGUUUGGGCACUCACUACCCCAGGUUCACUCCCGGCUCCACAUCCCUUGGGGAGCAGCCCUGUUCUUGCUGUCCCCUGAUGCUCUGUGCUCAGUAUCCAUAACCAUAAUUCCAAUCCU